RNAcentral lists this ribosomal RNA (792 nucleotides) under uncultured bacterium. RNAcentral describes it as "bacterial SSU rRNA". It matches the Rfam family "Bacterial small subunit ribosomal RNA", at positions 8 to 796 of the family's 1533-position model. The record is from RNAcentral.
AGAGUUUGAUCCUGGCUCAGGAUGAACGCUAGCGGCAGGCUUAAUACAUGCAAGUCGAGGGGCAGCACGGUAGCAAUACUGGUGGCGACCGGCAAACGGGUGCGGAACACGUACAGAACCUUCCUUUAAGUGGGGGAUAGCCCAGAGAAAUUUGGAUUAAUACCCCGUAACAUUGAUGAGUGGCAUCACUUAACAAUUAUAGAUUUAUCGCUUAGAGAUGGCUGUGCGGCUGAUUAGGUAGUUGGUGCGGGUAACGGCCCACCAAGCCUUCGAUCAGUAACUGGUGUGAGAGCACGACCAGUCACACGGGCACUGAGACACGGGCCCGACUCCUACGGGAGGCAGCAGUAAGGAAUAUUGGUCAAUGGACGCAAGUCUGAACCAGCCAUGCCGCGUGAAGGAUGAAGGUCCUCUGGAUUGUAAACUUCUUUUAUCUGGGACGAAACCCUCGUUUUCUAACGGGAUUGACGGUACCAGAGGAAUAAGCACCGGCUAACUCCGUGCCAGCAGCCGCGGUAAUACGGAGGGUGCAAGCGUUAUCCGGAUUCACUGGGUUUAAAGGGUGCGUAGGUGGGUCUGUAAGUCAGUGGUGAAAUCUCCGGGCUUAACCUGGAAACUGCCAUUGAUACUAUAGGUCUUGAAUUUUCUGGAGGUAAGCGGAAUAUGUCAUGUAGCGGUGAAAUGCUUAGAUAUGACAUAGAACACCAAUUGCGAAGGCAGCUUACUACGGGAAUAUUGACACUGAGGCACGAAAGCGUGGGGAUCAAACAGGAUUAGAUACCCUGGUAGUCG